RNAcentral lists this ribosomal RNA (494 nucleotides) under uncultured bacterium. RNAcentral's name for it is "partial 16S ribosomal RNA". It matches the Rfam family "Bacterial small subunit ribosomal RNA", at positions 28 to 507 of the family's 1533-position model. The record is from RNAcentral.
GACGAACGCUGGCGACGCGCUUAACACAUGCAAGUCGAACGGAAAGGCCUGCUUUCCCUUGUGGAUUGCGGGUACUCGAGUGGCGAACGGGUGAGUAACACGUGAGUGAUCUGCCCCCAACUUGGGUAUAAGCCUGGGAAACUGGGUCUAAUUCCCGAUAGGACUGCAGGGUGGUGCCUGUGGUGGAAAACGAUUUUCUAGUGGUUGGGGAUGAGCUCGCGGCCUAUCAGCUUGUUGGUGGGGUAAUGGCCUACCAAGGCGGCGACGGGUAGCCGGCCUGAGGGGGUGGACGGCCACAUUGGACCUGAGGUACGGCCCAGACGCCUACGGGAGGCAGCAGUGGGGAAUAUUGCACGAUGGGCGGAAGCCUGAUGCAGCGAAGCCGCGUGGGGGAUGACGGCCUUCGGGUUGUAAACUCCUUUCGACCGCGAGGAAGCCACCUGGUUGGAAGGGUGGUGACGGUAGUGGUAGAAGAAGCACCGGCUAACUACGUG